GAGACCCAUCUUUUAGCUAGCCGAACUAUUGGUCCAUAUAUAGGAUAACGACCCCUUAAAGCAUUGAUCUUGCUCGCAUGUUGGUGUUGCAGAAGAAGUUUUCUGUCAGCAGAGAGGCUCCAUUGAUGUCGACUGUUAUUACUUUGCCCAGUCACCAGACCAAGAGCCCUUUCAUGAGAAAUUUUAAGGCGGAAUGCAUAGCCAGACAUUAGAACAUCUACA
Molecule: unclassified non-coding RNA, 222 nt
Filed under: Hevea brasiliensis (rubber tree)
Lineage: Eukaryota; Viridiplantae; Streptophyta; Magnoliopsida; Malpighiales; Euphorbiaceae
Source: RNAcentral